Molecule: ribosomal RNA, 446 nt
Filed under: uncultured bacterium
Lineage: Bacteria
Description: SSU rRNA
Rfam family: Bacterial small subunit ribosomal RNA
Source: RNAcentral
AGAGCGAACGCUGGCGGCAGGCCUAACACAUGCAAGUCGAGCGGCCGUAGCAAUACGGCAGCGGCAGACGGGAGAGUAACACGUGGGAACGCGCCCUUCGGUUCGGAAUAACUCAGGGAAACUUGAGCUAAUACCGAAUACGCCCAUACGGGGAAAGAUUUAUUGCCGAAGGAACGGCCCGCGUCCGAUUAGCUAGUUGGUGAGGUAAUGGCUCACCAAGGCGACGAUCGGGUAGCUGGUCUGAGAGGAUGACCAGCCUCACUGGGACUGAGACACGGCCCAGACUCCUACGGGAGGCAGCAGUGGGGAAUAUUGGACAAUGGGCGCAAGCCUGAUCCAGCCAUGCCGCGUGGAUGAUGAAGGCCUUAGGGUUGUAAAGUCCUUUUAACGGGGAAGAUAAUGACGGUACCGUAGAAUAGCCCGGCUAACUCGUGCCAGCAGCCGAC